AAAUUGAAGAGUUUGAUCAUGGCUCAGAUUGAACGCUGGCGGCAGGCCUAACACAUGCAAGUCGAACGGUAACAGGAAGCAGCUUGCUGCUUUGCUGACGAGUGGCGGACGGGUGAGUAAUGUCUGGGAAACUGCCUGAUGGAGGGGGAUAACUACUGGAAACGGUGGCUAAUACCGCAUAACGUCGCAAGACCAAAGAGGGGGACCUUCGGGCCUCUUGCCAUCAGAUGUGCCCAGAUGGGAUUAGCUAGUUGGUGAGGUAACGGCUCACCAAGGCGACGAUCCCUAGCUGGUCUGAGAGGAUGACCAGCCACACUGGAACUGAGACACGGUCCAGACUCCUACGGGAGGCAGCAGUGGGGAAUAUUGCACAAUGGGCGCAAGCCUGAUGCAGCCAUGCCGCGUGUAUGAAGAAGGCCUUCGGGUUGUAAAGUACUUUCAGCGGGGAGGAAGGUGUUGUGGUUAAUAACC
This 471-nucleotide ribosomal RNA is filed under the name Salmonella enterica subsp. enterica serovar Infantis. RNAcentral's name for it is "partial 16S ribosomal RNA". It matches the Rfam family "Bacterial small subunit ribosomal RNA", at positions 1 to 468 of the family's 1533-position model. RNAcentral also lists the same sequence under 36 other names. The record is from RNAcentral. Lineage: Bacteria; Pseudomonadati; Pseudomonadota; Gammaproteobacteria; Enterobacterales; Enterobacteriaceae.